CAGUAGCCGCGGUAAUACGAGGGGGGCAAGCGUUGUUCGGAAUUAUUGGGCGUAAAGGGCGCGUAGGCGGUUUGGCAAGUUUGGUGUGAAAUCUUCGGGCUCAACUCGAAGUCUGCAUCGAAAACUGCCGGGCUUGAGUAUGGGAGAGGUGAGUGGAAUUUCCGGUGUAGCGGUGAAAUGCGUAGAUAUCGGAAGGAACACCUGUGGCGAAAGCGGCUCACUGGACCAUUACUGACGCUGAGGCGCGAAAGCUAGGGGAGCAAACAGGAUUAGAUACCCGUGUAGUCCCUGUCUCUUAUAC
This 301-nucleotide ribosomal RNA is filed under the name uncultured bacterium. RNAcentral describes it as "partial 16S ribosomal RNA". It matches the Rfam family "Bacterial small subunit ribosomal RNA", at positions 509 to 807 of the family's 1533-position model. The record is from RNAcentral.